RNAcentral lists this unclassified non-coding RNA (254 nucleotides) under fungal sp. RNAcentral's name for it is "partial internal transcribed spacer region". The stretch from base 1 to 45 matches the Rfam family "Eukaryotic small subunit ribosomal RNA", at positions 1787 to 1831 of the family's 1831-position model. The record is from RNAcentral. Lineage: Eukaryota; Fungi.
AGUCGUAACAAGGUAUCCGUAGGUGAACCUGCGGAUGGAUCAUUACCAAAGACCUCUGUCUUUUACGUUAUGUGAACAGUUUAGGCUUUUGAGGUGUCGGGGAAGUGUGUGUUGUUUUUGUGGUCCUGUGUGUCACAGAGACCCACGCGCUCCGGCUCCUUGUUUUAAACUACGUAAUUUUUGAAACUGAAGUCUGCCAUUGAGGUUUUGGUGAAAACUAAAAACAACUUUUAGCAACGGAUCUCUUGGCUCUC